RNAcentral lists this ribosomal RNA (449 nucleotides) under uncultured bacterium. RNAcentral describes it as "bacterial SSU rRNA". It matches the Rfam family "Bacterial small subunit ribosomal RNA", at positions 28 to 478 of the family's 1533-position model. The record is from RNAcentral.
GAUGAACGCUGGCGGCGUGCUUAACACAUGCAAGUCGAACGGGAAUUACUUUAUUGAAACUUCGGUCGAUAUGAUUUAAUUCUAGUGGCGGACGGGUGAGUAACGCGUGGGUAACCUGCCUUAUACAGGGGGAUAACAGUCAGAAAUGACUGCUAAUACCGCAUAAGCACACAGAGCUGCAUGGCUCGGUGUGAAAAACUCCGGUGGUAUAAGAUGGACCCGCGUUGGAUUAGCUGGUUGGUGAGGUAACGGCCCACCAAGGCGACGAUCCAUAGCCGGCCUGAGAGGGUGAACGGCCACAUUGGGACUGAGACACGGCCCAGACUCCUACGGGAGGCAGCAGUGGGGAAUAUUGCACAAUGGGGGAAACCCUGAUGCAGCGACGCCGCGUGAAGGAAGAAGUAUCUCGGUAUGUAAACUUCUAUCAGCAGGGAAGAAAAUGACGGUAC